Molecule: non-coding RNA, 24 nt
Filed under: Cricetulus griseus (Chinese hamster)
Lineage: Eukaryota; Metazoa; Chordata; Mammalia; Rodentia; Cricetidae
Source: RNAcentral
UGGGAAAGGAAUCAUACAGAAGGA